ACCUAGCUGACGGGUCCCAAAUAGGACAAGACGCGCGUCCUAGAU
This 45-nucleotide non-coding RNA is filed under the name Schistosoma margrebowiei. Lineage: Eukaryota; Metazoa; Platyhelminthes; Trematoda; Strigeidida; Schistosomatidae. The record is from RNAcentral.